AUUGAACGCUGGCGGCAUGCUUUACACAUGCAAGUCGAACGGUAACAGGCCGCAAGGUGCUGACGAGUGGCGAACGGGUGAGUAAUGCAUCGGAACGUGCCCAGUCGUGGGGGAUAACUACUCGAAAGAGUAGCUAAUACCGCAUACGAUCUAUGGAUGAAAGCGGGGGACCGUAAGGCCUCGCGCGAUUGGAGCGGCCGAUGUCAGAUUAGGUAGUUGGUGGGGUAAAGGCUCACCAAGCCAACGAUCUGUAGCUGGUCUGAGAGGACGACCAGCCACACUGGGACUGAGACACGGCCCAGACUCCUACGGGGGGCAGCAGUGGGGAAUUUUGGACAAUGGGCGCAAGCCUGAUCCAGCAAUGCCGCGUGCAGGAAGAAGGCCUUCGGGUUGUAAACUGCUUUUGUACGGAACGAAACGGCUCUGGUUAAUACCCGGGGCUAAUGACGGUACCGUAAGAAUAAGCACCGGCUGACUACGUG
Molecule: ribosomal RNA, 482 nt
Filed under: uncultured bacterium
Lineage: Bacteria
Description: partial 16S ribosomal RNA
Rfam family: Bacterial small subunit ribosomal RNA
Source: RNAcentral